UAACGCGGAGAACCUUACCAGCCCUUGACAUGUCUAUGACCGGUACCAGAGAUGGAACCUUCCCUUCGGGGCAUAGAGCACAGGUGCUGCAUGGCUGUCGUCAGCUCGUGUCGUGAGAUGUUGGGUUAAGUCCCGCAACGAGCGCAACCCCCGUCCUUAGUUGCUACCAUUUAGUUGAGCACUCUAAGGAGACUGCCGGUGAUAAGCCGCGAGGAAGGUGGGGAUGACGUCAAGUCCUCAUGGCCCUUACGGGCUGGGCUACACACGUGCUACAAUGGCGGUGACAAUGGGAUGCAAAGGGGCGACCCCUCGCAAAUCUCUAAAAAGCCGUCUCAGUUCGGAUUGGGCUCUGCAAGCUCGAGUCCCAUGAAGUUGGAAUUCGUCUAGUAAUUCGUGGAUCAGCA
This 404-nucleotide ribosomal RNA is filed under the name Afipia broomeae. RNAcentral's name for it is "bacterial SSU rRNA". It matches the Rfam family "Bacterial small subunit ribosomal RNA", at positions 957 to 1354 of the family's 1533-position model. Lineage: Bacteria; Pseudomonadati; Pseudomonadota; Alphaproteobacteria; Hyphomicrobiales; Nitrobacteraceae. The record is from RNAcentral.